RNAcentral lists this long non-coding RNA (742 nucleotides) under Homo sapiens (human). RNAcentral describes it as "HSALNT0335391". The record is from RNAcentral. Lineage: Eukaryota; Metazoa; Chordata; Mammalia; Primates; Hominidae.
CUAAUGCCGCCAUCGUCUGCCUUCAGCCACCAUCAUGAUUUAUCUACUGGGACCUCAUCAGCCAUGAUGAGAUGUUCUCCCACAUUUACAAAAUCCGGGAGACUGCGGAUGGGCUGUGCCUGGAGGUGGAGGGGAAAUUGGUAAGUAGGACAGAGGGUAACAUUGAUGACUUGCUCAUUGGUGGAAAUGCCUCCGCUGAAGGCACUGAAAGCGAAGGUACCAAAAGCACAGUAAUCACUGGUAUCCUUACUGUCAUGAACCAUCACCUGCAGGAAACAAGCUUCACAAAAGAAGCCUACAAGAAGUAUAAUACACCAAAGAUUACAUGAAAUCAACCAAAGGCAAACUUGAAGAACAGAGACCAGAAAGAGUAAAACCUUUUAUGACAGGGGCUGCAGAACAAAUCAAACACAUCCUUGCUAAUUUCAAAAGCUACCACUUCUUUAUUGGUGAAAACAUGAAUCCAGAUGGCAUGGUUGCUCCACAGGACUACCGUGAGGUUGGUGUAACCCAUGUGGGAUUUCCUUUAAGGAUGGCUUAGAAAUGGAAAAAAAAUUAACAAAUUUGGCAAUGACUGGAUCUAUUACCUGUCAUCAUAACUGGCUUCUGCUUGUCAGCCACACAACACCAGGACUUAAGACAAAUGGGACUGAUGUCAUCUUGAGCUCUUCAUUUAUUUUGACCAUGAUUUAUUUGGAGUGGAGGCAUUGUUUUUAAGAAAAACAUGUCAAUUCAGAAAUCU